ACGGAGGAUCCGAGCGUUAUCCGGAUUUAUUGGGUUUAAAGGGAGCGUAGGUGGAUUGUUAAGUCAGUUGUGAAAGUUUGCGGCUCAACCGUAAAAUUGCAGUUGAAACUGGCAGUCUUGAGUACAGUAGAGGUGGGCGGAAUUCGUGGUGUAGCGGUGAAAUGCUUAGAUAUCACGAAGAACUCCGAUUGCGAAGGCAGCUCACUAGACUGUCACUGACACUGAUGCUCGAAAGUGUGGGUAUCAAACAG
This 251-nucleotide ribosomal RNA is filed under the name uncultured bacterium. RNAcentral's name for it is "partial 16S ribosomal RNA". It matches the Rfam family "Bacterial small subunit ribosomal RNA", at positions 525 to 775 of the family's 1533-position model. The record is from RNAcentral.